CCCAAUCGGUGGGAAUACUCCCAACCGACCAAAAACUCCCCAGCGCCACCUCUUCUUUGUUUUUUUUUCUUUUUUCUUUCCCACUUCUCUCUUUUUUUUCUCUCUUUCCUUCCCUCUUCUUCUUCCUUCCUUCUCUGUUCUCACGUGAAUUUCCUUCCCUCAGCCCCGACACUUUCCUUCCCAUGGCAGCCGAUCCCCUCUCCCGGAUCUCUCUCC
RNAcentral lists this long non-coding RNA (216 nucleotides) under Hordeum vulgare. RNAcentral's name for it is "long non-coding RNA (HVUL_LNC001396)". The record is from RNAcentral. Lineage: Eukaryota; Viridiplantae; Streptophyta; Magnoliopsida; Poales; Poaceae.